UCUAGGAGCCGGACUCUGCUUUUGCUUGAUUCUGACCUUCUACCUCUACAAGAAAGCAAAAGCGCUGUGUCCUCAACCAUCAGACCCUGGUCAGCCAGUGCAGAGCAUCUAUCAGAAUGUUGGCCAGGCCCCUGACCAGCUUGGAGAAACUGAUGAGGACCAGUCUGACUAUGUGCAAAUGA
Long non-coding RNA from Engraulis encrasicolus (European anchovy), 182 nucleotides. RefSeq lists it as uncharacterized. The transcript has 3 exons. NCBI's taxonomy places the organism in Eukaryota, Metazoa, Chordata, Actinopteri, Clupeiformes, Engraulidae. The record is from RefSeq and is a predicted model, not a curated record.